ACGGGUGAGUAACACGUGGGUGAUCUGCCCUGCACUUUGGGAUAAGCCUGGGAAACUGGGUCUAAUACCGAAUAUGAUCACGGGCUUCAUGGUCUGUGGUGGAAAGCUUUUGCGGUGUGGGAUGGGCCCGCGGCCUAUCAGCUUGUUGGUGGGGUAAUGGCCUACCAAGGCGACGACGGGUAGCCGGCCUGAGAGGGUGACCGGCCACACUGGGACUGAGAUACGGCCCAGACUCCUACGGGAGGCAGCAGUGGGGAAUAUUGCACAAUGGGCGCAAGCCUGAUGCAGCGACGCCGCGUGAGGGAUGACGGCCUUCGGGUUGUAAACCUCUUUCAAUAGGGACGAAGCGCAAGUGACGGUACCUAUAGAAGAAGGACCGGCCAACUACGUGCCAGCAGCCGCGGUAAUACGUAGGGUCCGAGCGUUGUCCGGAAUUACUGUGCGUAAAGAGCUCGUAGGUGGUUUGUCGCGUUGUUCGUGAAAACUCACAGCUUAACUGUGGGCGUGCGGGCGAUACGGGCAGACUUGAGUACUGCACGGG
RNAcentral lists this ribosomal RNA (541 nucleotides) under uncultured bacterium. RNAcentral describes it as "bacterial SSU rRNA". It matches the Rfam family "Bacterial small subunit ribosomal RNA", at positions 102 to 657 of the family's 1533-position model. The record is from RNAcentral.